UCAGAAUAGAACUGAUAUGGAAGAUUAGUAAUAUAACUAGACCUAAUGUAAACCAUAUACAUGGUAUGUAGCAGUGCAUUGUAGUAUGCUGCUGGUAGUUCUGUUGUAUUGGACACCACUGGUUCAGUGGGGUGAGAUGCACAAGCUGAAGAAUGAAUGGAUGAAGCUGGCUAAAGUUUAGAUUUAUUGACUCCCAAGCAUUGGCGAUGGGUUGGGGAAACUAACUGGGGGGGAAGGUGGAGGAAACAGGCCUAAACGUCUUUAGCCUCCAGAGUGAGAGUGUGUAGCCAUCUUUUUGACCCAGUUUGUCUAAACUACUUUUGUCAAUCUUAGGAGUUACUUUUAGAAAUUUGAGUAAUUACACCAACAUGUACCUUUCAAUGUAGAAUCAGCUGGAAGAGUCUGUUUUCUUUUUGACUUUGCUUCCAUCAUCUCUGCCUUUUGCAUCAAGACAAGAUGGCUGCAAAACACGUCAUAUGGGCAUGCUUUGAACCACUCAGAUUCAAAGUAGGACAAAAAUGGGUCUUCCUGUUUUGAGUAUUAUGCAGAGGUCCUAGCAUUUAUUUUCAGAAUUGUACUGGAUUGCAGAUGAAUCGCAAGGUACUAGGUCUGACAUCCUGGAAGGUGGCUUAGGUUUUGUCAUAUAGCCAAGGAACAGCCUGACUCUGCUUUUGUUGAGGUCAGUAGAGGUUCUUGAGUGCAAAGUCCUUGAGCUGAAAAUUAAAAGGGAACUACUUGCAGGAAUCUGAAUGUCUGGCCUCUGGUAUAUUCUUUACCUUAGUUUGCCAGAGCCUUGGUUUCUUAACUUCCUGGGCAUACUAUAGAGAGGGGUAGGGUAGAUUCGCAUUUUGCAGACUAAAUCUGAGAUGCUUAAGCUUUUGUACUCAGGAAGGUAGUUGACAGAGUAUUGUGAUUAUCUGAAAGAUCUCUCACUCUAUAGAGCACAACAACAAAAAGUAGUUGACUGGAAUCUUUUAUUUCAUUUUAAUUUUUGUUUAAGAGUUUUGGAAUGUGCUUGCAGAAGUUCCUUCAGGCUUUUUUGUAUAGCUGAAAUAGUUAUGAUGCCGUUGGAACCCAAUUGGAGAAAAGAAGUUUCACUUACUAAUGCCUCCUCUUCCAGAAAUAGUAAACUAGCAGUUCCUCUAAGGUAGAGUAAGAAUCCUAUUGCCAGUCCUGUUUGUUACAUCCCAGUAGGGCACGUCAGAGGAGCUGACGGUUUCUGAAGUGAAAUUUGUCACAUUGUGGCAACCUGUAAAUGUCCCAAAAAUAUUUGAGAUGUUCCUCUCCUCCAGUGUAUUGAAACUGUUCUUGAAGAACUCUGCAGCUUUCCUUAUUGGCAUGUCUGCCUUGACAAACACAGUCUCAGCAAACACCUUUUUGACUUUUAGACAAAGUUGGCCACUUAAAUAAAACAGUUAUGGUUUGUCUCAGUUCCUACCACCUGUAGAGAUUUCUGCCUUAAGUAUUAAAGUAAUGUAAAUAUUCAUAAUUUAAAGAAACUUGUAGAAACUAGAAAAAAUGUAUUUGGCAUAGUGAAAGAAAAAGGCACUAUUACUGUUGUCUAAGUAGAAUCUGGGCUUUUACCUUGCCUCUGCUAUUAUUUAUCAACUUUAAUUCUUGAUAUUCACAAUAUUGAAGUUAUUAAAAGUUUGGGUAAUCCAGUGUGGUCUGUGUUUCUGUUUUUUAGUGUGGGUUUAAAUACUGACUGAGUGAAAGGUUGUCUUGACACCUGAGAUCAUGGAUGCUGCAGAGGGGGGCAAAUGUAACCUUUUAACAAAACACUCUUAUGUUCAGUCAGGCAGAGCUUUAGCCACAAGUGUCUUCCCUGAAAUAGGGGAAACUGAAGAAUUCAAAGCUAAAAUACUAGGGGGAGUACAUAAAAGAAGUAAGAAGUAAGUAUUCUGGAAAUCCUCUCUGUGAGAUGAGAAAAGAAGGCAUAGGAGAUCUAAGUCAACAGGGUUGCUACUUCAAGAAAAGCAACUGUAUUUUGUGAUUCAAGUACUGUAAAGAAUACAAGAAGUUGCACAACUCUUGUCUGUUUAAUGUUUGGAGAGGAAGGGAAAGGUCUUGUGCAAGAAUCAAGAAGCCCAUGAACAGGAGCGGUGAAAGGAAACUGGUUUGGUAGUGGAGGAGGAGAAAGGGGUCUGUUGCCAAGAAAGGGAAGAGUCUCCUGUGUUCAGUGCACAAAUACCAGUGCUCAAACUCUUAUUAGCCAAAGAGUAGGAAAUACCCACAGAAAUAAGGGAUACUCCCUUGUUUCCCCUUCCCAGUCUCGCAUUGUGGCCCUCCCUAAAUCAGUCUGCUGUCCACUUACCCUCAAGGAGGUCGUAGUUUCAUCUAGGUUUUCUCUUCUCAUGCAAUAAGAGAACAGCUUCUAAUCCUUUAGAGAAGGGUACAUUGUUAUUUUGUUUAACUGCUCUAACCUCAGGUACUGGAAUUAUCUACAAGGGUACCUAAUUCAUGUUAAGAGAUGCAAUCUAUUUGACUGCAGACAGGGGCCCUGCUUAGGGCAGAGAUAAGGAGAGUUUGGGACACAGAUGUGAUGACUCUGACAACUUUCUGUGUUCUGCCCAGCAUCCCUCUACAGGUUUGGGGGGUUCCCCCACCCUUUAACACUCCUAUCAGGUUUCAGACAACAUGGCCAUGCUAGUGUCCUAAUCCAUUUGAAUUAAUUUAGGAGGUCAUAAGACUUCUAAGUGUUUCCUGGAAAAUAAACAAAAGCUGCUUUUAAUUUAUAAUUUUUGCUUCUUGGAUAUUCAGACUCUUCCCUCUCUCUACCCCCUCACCCUAAACCAUUUCAUUAAUGAUAGAAAUACCUCAUGGAUCAGGCUGUUCCUUUGAAAAAACUGUUGCCAUUUGUCUUCAAUCCUGUGUUCACUAGAACUCCCUCUAAAAAUAGGCAUGCUCUUCAAUAAGACCCAACGUAUUGUGUGAGUCCUAGACCUGUGAAUUUGUGUUCCCUUACUAGCUUAUCAAAACACAGUUUCUUAAGAUUUUGAUUCCUGCUUGUCAAAAUGUUUCCCCAUCAUUAUAUUUUAAAAGAAAAUAA
Molecule: long non-coding RNA, 3049 nt
Organism: Gavialis gangeticus (Gharial)
Lineage: Eukaryota; Metazoa; Chordata; Crocodylia; Gavialidae
Exons: 2
Source: RefSeq, a predicted model, not a curated record